RNAcentral lists this ribosomal RNA (955 nucleotides) under Perezitrema bychowskyi. RNAcentral describes it as "eukaryotic LSU rRNA". It matches the Rfam family "Eukaryotic large subunit ribosomal RNA", at positions 354 to 925 of the family's 3401-position model. The record is from RNAcentral. Lineage: Eukaryota; Metazoa; Platyhelminthes; Trematoda; Plagiorchiida; Macroderoididae.
UGAGGGAAAGUUGCAAAGUACUUUGAAGAGAGAGUAAACAGUGCGUGAAACCGCUCAGAGGUAAACGGGUGGAGUUGAACUGCAAGCUUUGAGAAUUCAGCUGAUGAGUGUGGUUUGAGCUUGGUCAAAUUGGUGAACUCCGGGGUCUGCGUAGUAGCAGGUCUUUGCCUUCGGGUGAGGAUGCGCGAUACACUUGUCAAGUGUUGUGCGCUUCGGUUGUUCUUCGGCCUGCUCGUCAGUGCACUUUCUCUUAGUGGUCACCACGACCGGCACCGCUGUCUGGCUUCUUCGGUUAAACCGGUUUUGCUUAGUCAUAAGGCUUUGCUUGAUCGGGAGGGCAGGUAGCUCGUUGACUUGCUUGUGGUUCGCUGCAAGCGUUCGGUUUUCGAGUGUUAUUAGCUGACCGGAGUAGUACUGUGCAGUGUGUCGGAGACGGCGGCUUGUAGUGCGUGCAUGCGUGCCUGUUCUGCUGACUUGUCCGAGUUUGGUUAUUAUGUUGCCUGUUCAAGCAGGCCUGGUGAUGGCUCGGAUUCGUUCGGUGGGCGGUUGCGUGUGUUGCACCUUUCAGGGCCAACAGUCUGUGGUGUAGUGGUAGACUUUCCACCCGACCCGUCUUGAAACACGGACCAAGGAGAGUAACAUGUACGCGAGUCAUUGGGCGUUACGAAACCCACAGGCGCAGUGAAAGUAAAGGUCUGACUUGUUCAGGCUGAGGUGAGAUCCUGUCGUUUCUCACGCGCGGUACUACCAAGCAUCGAGCGGCAGGCGCAUCACCGGCCCGUCCCAUGGCAGUUGUCUUCGGACAGUUUUCGGUCGGGGCGGAGCAUGAGCGUACAUGUUGAGACCCGAAAGAUGGUGAACUAUGCUUGCGCAGGUUGAAGCCAGAGGAAACUCUGGUGGAGGACCGCAGCGAUUCUGACGUGCAAAUCGAUCGUCMAACGUGAGUAUAGGGGCG